GCGUCCGUAGUUCAGUUGGUAGAGCAUCACUAUGACAUAGUGAAAGUCAGUGGUUCAAGUCCACUCGGACGUA
Molecule: transfer RNA, 73 nt
Filed under: Buchnera aphidicola (Anoecia oenotherae)
Lineage: Bacteria; Pseudomonadati; Pseudomonadota; Gammaproteobacteria; Enterobacterales; Erwiniaceae
Rfam family: tRNA
About the family: Transfer RNA (tRNA) molecules are approximately 80 nucleotides in length.
Source: Rfam by way of RNAcentral